This 1068-nucleotide ribosomal RNA is filed under the name Auchenomus forcipatus. Its description in RNAcentral is "SSU rRNA". It matches the Rfam family "Eukaryotic small subunit ribosomal RNA", at positions 721 to 1795 of the family's 1831-position model. The record is from RNAcentral. Lineage: Eukaryota; Metazoa; Arthropoda; Insecta; Dermaptera; Spongiphoridae.
CUUUACUGAGUGUCGUGGCGGGCCGACACGUUUACUUUGAACAAAUUAGAGUGCUAAAAGCAGGCCUCACGCCUGAAUAUUGUGUGCAUGGAAUAAUAGAAUAGGACCUCGGUUCUAUUUUGUUGGUUUUCUGAACCAGAGGUAAUGAUUAAGAGGAACGGACGGGGGCAUUCGUAUUGAGACGUUAGAGGUGAAAUUCUUGGAUCGUCUCAAGACGGACAGAAGCGAAAGCAUUUGCCAAGAACGUUUUCAUUAAUCAAGAACGAAAGUUAGAGGUUCGAAGGCGAUCAGAUACCGCCCUAGUUCUAACCAUAAACGAUGCCAGCCAGCGAUCCGCCAAAGUUCCUCCGAUGACUUGGCGGGCAGCUUCCGGGAAACCAAAGCUUUUGGGUUCCGGGGGAAGUAUGGUUGCAAAGCUGAAACUUAAAGGAAUUGACGGAAGGGCACCACCAGGAGUGGAGCCUGCGGCUUAAUUUGACUCAACACGGGAAACCUCACCAGGUCCGGACACCGGAAGGAUUGACAGAUUGAGAGCUCUUUCUUGAUUCGGUGGGUGGUGGUGCAUGGCCGUUCUUAGUUGGUGGAACGAUUUGUCUGGUUAAUUCCGAUAACGAACGAGACUCUAGCCUGCUAACUAGCCGUUUCCGGCAUCAUAUGCUGCCGGCGGCAUAAAACUCUUCUUAGAGGGACAGGCGGCUUCUAGCCGCACGAGAUUGAGCAAUAACAGGUCUGUGAUGCCCUUAGAUGUCCUGGGCCGCACGCGCGCUACAAUGAAGGUAUCAACGUGUCCUCCCAGGCCGAACGGUCCGGGUAACCCGUUAAACCACCUUCGUGCUAGGGAUUGGGGCUUGCAAUUGCUCCCCAUGAACGAGGAAUUCCCAGUAAGCGCGAGUCAUAAGCUCGCGUUGAUUACGUCCCUGCCCUUUGUACACACCGCCCGUCGCUACUACCGAUUGAAUGAUUUAGUGAGGUCUUCGGACUGGUGCGCGAUAGCAUUAUCAUUAAUGCUGCCGAUGUUACUGGAAAGAUGACCAAACUUGAUUAUUUAGAGGAAGUAAAAGUCGUAAC